UACGUAGGGGGCUAGCGUUGUCCGGAAUCAUUGGGCGUAAAGCGCGUGUAGGCGGCCCGGUAAGUCCGCUGUGAAAGUCGGGGGCUCAACCCUCGGAUGCCGGUGGAUACUGUCGGGCUGGAGUGCGGAAGAGGCGAGUGGAAUUCCUGGUGUAGCGGUGAAAUGCGCAGAUAUCAGGAGGAACACCAAUUGCGAAGGCAGCUCGCUGGGACGUUACUGACGCUGAGGCGCGAAAGCGUGGGGAGCGAACAGG
RNAcentral lists this ribosomal RNA (253 nucleotides) under uncultured bacterium. RNAcentral's name for it is "partial 16S ribosomal RNA". It matches the Rfam family "Bacterial small subunit ribosomal RNA", at positions 524 to 776 of the family's 1533-position model. The record is from RNAcentral.